CGAAAGUUAGAGGUUCGAAGGCGAUCAGAUACCGCCCUAGUUCUAACCAUAAACGAUGCCAACCAGCGAUCCGCCUGAGUUCCUCAAAUGACUCGGCGGGCAGCUUCCGGGAAACCAAAGUGUUUGGGUUCCGGGGGAAGUAUGGUUGCAAAGCUGAAACUUAAAGGAAUUGACGGAAGGGCACCACCAGGAGUGGAGCCUGCGGCUUAAUUUGACUCAACACGGGAAAACUUACCCGGCCCGGACACUGGAAGGAUUGACAGAUUAAGAGCUCUUUCUUGAUUCAGUGGGUGGUGGUGCAUGGCCGUUCUUAGUUGGUGGAGCGAUUUGUCUGGUUAAUUCCGAUAACGAACGAGACUCUAGCCUACUAAAUAGGCGUUCCGAUCAUUUAUGUCGGACGUUCUUCUUAGAGGGACAAGCGGCUUUUAGCCGCACGAGACAGAGCAAUAACAGGUCUGUGAUGCCCUUAGAUGUCCGGGGCCGCACGCGCGCUACACUGAAGGAAUCAGCGUGUGCUUUCCCUGUCUGGUAGGACUGGGUAACCCGUUAAACCUCCUUCGUGAUAGGGAUAGGGGCUUGUAAUUGUUCCCCUUGAACGAGGAAUUCCCAGUAAGCACGAGUCAUAAGCUCGUGUUGAUUACGUCCCUGCCCUUUGUACACACCGCCCGUCGCUACUACCGAUUGAAUGAUUUAGUGAGGUCUUCGGACUGGCGCUCGUAGCGACCUUUGGCCGCGCCGACGUGCCGGAAAGAUGACCAAACUUGAUCAUUUAGAGGAAGUAAAAGU
Molecule: ribosomal RNA, 786 nt
Filed under: Holissus unciger
Lineage: Eukaryota; Metazoa; Arthropoda; Arachnida; Araneae; Dysderidae
Description: SSU rRNA
Rfam family: Eukaryotic small subunit ribosomal RNA
Source: RNAcentral